GAUGAACGCUAGCGACAGGCUUAACACAUGCAAGUCGAGGGGCAGCACAGGGUAGCAAUACUUGGGUGGCGACCGGCGCACGGGUGAGUAACACGUAUCCAACCUGCCCUUUACUCGGGGAUAGCCUUUCGAAAGAAAGAUUAAUACCCGAUAGCAUAAUGAUUCCGCAUGGUUUCAUUAUUAAAGGAUUCCGGUAAAGGAUGGGGAUGCGUUCCAUUAGGUUGUUGGUGAGGUAACGGCCCACCAAGCCUUCGAUGGAUAGGGGUUCUGAGAGGAAGGUCCCCCACAUUGGAACUGAGACACGGUCCAAACUCCUACGGGAGGCAGCAGUGAGGAAUAUUGGUCAAUGGACGAGAGUCUGAACCAGCCAAGUAGCGUGCAGGAUGACGGCCCUAUGGGUUGUAAACUGCUUUUAUAAGGGAAUAAAGUGAGUCUCGUGAGACUUUUUGCAUGUACCUUAUGAAUAAGGACCGGCUAAUUCCGUG
RNAcentral lists this ribosomal RNA (485 nucleotides) under uncultured bacterium. Its description in RNAcentral is "bacterial SSU rRNA". It matches the Rfam family "Bacterial small subunit ribosomal RNA", at positions 28 to 507 of the family's 1533-position model. The record is from RNAcentral.